UCGCAGAUAUACUUCUUUUACUACCUUGUAGGAUUAUGGUUUUUGUAUGUACUUGUUAGAUAUCCGAAAUGGAUCGUGGGCACACGAACCGUAUAUCAAAAUAUGGUUCAUUCAGUAGAUUCAUGGAUAUGUUAUACAUAUAUGUAUACACAAAACCAUAUCAUCAUUCUGUGUAUAUAUAUACAAAUACAAGAUACAUAUUUUGAGCAAGGACUAUGUCUAUAUUUUUGUGAACAAGACAGAAUGUUUUAAAGAACGGAUUUUCAACGUGUUUUCUUCAAUGUUGGGUGAAAGAGAGAGUUACCGUACUGUUUGAGCAAGGGAGGGGGUGAGAGAGCGUCGGCUGUGGGCUUAUUGCUGCUGCCAGGGAGAGAGGUGGAGGUGGCGUCGCCUGACCUACGGGCAGCGGUCGCCUUCGCCGGGGAGACUAGAGGCCGAGGGAGGCGGCGGCUCCUCGUCGUCGCCAAGGAGGAAGGUGGAGGCGGUUUGGAGGCUGCUUCCGUCGGGUUCGGUGAGACAGAGGGUGAGGGACGGGAAACGGAGUGGUGGUUGGUCGUUGCCACAUCGUCGCAGCUCGAGAGGGAGAGAGAUGACCGAGGGUGUCGCCGUUUCUCCGGCGAGCUUCCGCGGCGUCGGAUUUUGUAGUGGUUUGGGGAUUUGGGUUUAGGCGGAGCUUUGGGGGAGAGAGAGGGAGAUGGGGAGGGGGGGCUGUUUUCGAGAGAGAGAGGAUGACCGGAAGCUAUGGCUUCGCUGAGAAUUUCAGGCGGCGGCGAGGCCUUGAGGAGAGGGAGUGCCGAUUGAUUUGAGCAUUGUGUGUGUUUUUCGAUUGUGAGAGAGAGAGAGAUCCGUUGUGUAUGUUGUCAGCGUAGGGUGAAUAUUGAAUAAGGAAGGAAGGAGUUUGGGCCAGGGUUCCUCUUUUAGGUGUGGGAUUGAGAGUGGGCCGAUAAUUGUUUAAAGGGUUGGGAUUUAUUUUAUUUCAGCUAGGCUUUACUUCUUGGGCCUUUUAAUUUAUUUUAGUUGGGAUGUGCAGAUUUCAUUAAAUGGGCUGCACUAUUUAUUUAAUUGGACUAUUAUUAGUUCAAUUAAUUAUUUUAAAGAAUAAUUUGCAUAAUAAU
RNAcentral lists this long non-coding RNA (1115 nucleotides) under Salvia miltiorrhiza (redroot sage). RNAcentral's name for it is "long non-coding RNA (SMIL_LNC013518)". The record is from RNAcentral. Lineage: Eukaryota; Viridiplantae; Streptophyta; Magnoliopsida; Lamiales; Lamiaceae.